Molecule: unclassified non-coding RNA, 200 nt
Filed under: fungal sp.
Lineage: Eukaryota; Fungi
Description: partial internal transcribed spacer region
Rfam family: Eukaryotic small subunit ribosomal RNA (bases 1-46)
Source: RNAcentral
AAGUCGUAACAAGGUUUCCGUAGGUGAACCUGCGGAAGGAUCAUUAAAAGCGCACAAAGCACGCUGGGCGGCUGGCGAGGGCGGGCGGGGAAACACACACGAUGCAUGCGAUGCGAUGCGAUGCUGCGGCAGAUCUCUGCUCAGCAACAUGAAACAACAUAACAUCAGUACAGCUUUUAACAACGGAUCUCUAGGCUCCU